AGGGGUAUAGCUCAGUGGUAGAGAGCCUGCUUAGCGUGCAUGAGGUCCUGGGUUCAAUCCCCAGUACCAUCA
This 72-nucleotide transfer RNA is filed under the name Camelus bactrianus (Bactrian camel). It matches the Rfam family "tRNA". From Rfam's summary of the family: Transfer RNA (tRNA) molecules are approximately 80 nucleotides in length. Their secondary structure includes four short double-helical elements and three loops (D, anti-codon, and T loops). Lineage: Eukaryota; Metazoa; Chordata; Mammalia; Artiodactyla; Camelidae. RNAcentral also lists the same sequence under 2 other names. The record is from Rfam by way of RNAcentral.